GUCCCUCACUCGUCCGUGCCUUCGGGCCUUCGAGCUGUUUUCGAUGCCUGUGCCAUCUACCCGGUCCCUUGGGAAGCCGAUGCGCCCCACACGCUAGUCUGCCCCCCCCCCCGCCUCGUCGGGCGAGGGACGGCCACGGCGCGGGCGUCGUGCGCCCCCGGACAAAGCGGCCGUCAGGCCCCUGUCCCGGACGGGCUCCCGACGUCCCGUGAGCGCUCUCGGAUGCGGCAGAAGUCGUGGGCUUUGGGGACUUUGUUUCCCCGACCCGUACCUCGGUYGGUCGUCGAGCCGCCCUUGUCGAGACGACGGUCGGCCCGCUGUCGGGCCCCUUUCGCCCCCCGCGGGCGGGCGGGUGCCCCGUCGACGGUGCCGGC
RNAcentral lists this unclassified non-coding RNA (374 nucleotides) under Tillandsia kegeliana. RNAcentral's name for it is "partial 26S-18S rRNA external transcribed spacer". Lineage: Eukaryota; Viridiplantae; Streptophyta; Magnoliopsida; Poales; Bromeliaceae. The record is from RNAcentral.